AGCGAACGCUGGCGGCAGGCUUAACACAUGCAAGUCGAGCGGGCACUCCGGUGUCAGCGGCAGACGGGUGGGUAACACGUGGGAACGUACCCUCUGGUUCGGAAUAACGCUGGGAAACUAGCGCUAAUACCGGAUACGCCCUUUUGGGGAAAGGCUUGCUGCCGAAGGAUCGGCCCGCGUCUGAUUAGCUAGUUGGUGGGGUAAUGGCCUACCAAGGCGACGAUCAGUAGCUGGUCUGAGAGGAUGAUCAGCCACACUGGGACUGAGACACGGCCCAGACUCCUACGGGAGGCAGCAGUGGGGAAUAUUGGACAAGGGGCGCAAGCCUGAUCCAGCCAUGCCGCGUGAGUGAUGAAGGCCUUAGGGUUGUAAAGCUCUUUUGUCCGGGACGAUAAUGACGGUACCGGAAGAAUAAGCCCCGGCUAACUUCGUG
This 433-nucleotide ribosomal RNA is filed under the name uncultured bacterium. RNAcentral's name for it is "partial 16S ribosomal RNA". It matches the Rfam family "Bacterial small subunit ribosomal RNA", at positions 29 to 507 of the family's 1533-position model. The record is from RNAcentral.